RNAcentral lists this long non-coding RNA (392 nucleotides) under Lactuca sativa (garden lettuce). RNAcentral's name for it is "long non-coding RNA (LSAT_LNC003023)". Lineage: Eukaryota; Viridiplantae; Streptophyta; Magnoliopsida; Asterales; Asteraceae. The record is from RNAcentral.
GGGUUUCCACACGUUUUGGGCAGCCUCCUUCUCUUCUCUUCUUCAUCCUCUUGCUCUUGGUGUUUGUGAACCAUUAGAGGAGUGACAUUUGUGACUNGUUUUGGCCAGCCUCCUUCUCUUCUCUUCUUCAUCCUCUUGCUCUUGGUGUUUGUGAACCAUUAGAGGAGUGACAUUUGUGACUCUAAGCUUUCUAAAGUCAUUAUAAGGAGGAUUUGGGAUUGUUAUUGCUACAUAACAAUCAAGGUAUGAUCUAAACCCUAAUUCAGAUGUUAUAUUGGUUAUAAUAUACUAGAUCUAGGGUUUAUAGUCUUGGAUGAAUUGCAUGUACAAUAGAAAAACCUAGAUCCAAGCAUUAGGGUUUGUAUGAGCACAUAGGAUGUUCUUAUGAANNN